UACGAAGGGGGCUAGCGUUGUUCGGAAUUACUGGGCGUAAAGCGAGUGUAGGUGGUUGUCCAAGUUGGAUGUGAAAGCCUUGAGCUCAACUCAAGAAAUGCAUUCAGGACUGGGCGGCUAGAGGACCGGAGAGGAUAGUGGAAUUCCCAGUGUAGUGGUGAAAUACGUAGAGAUUGGGAAGAACACCAGUGGCGAAGGCGGCUAUCUGGACGGUUUCUGACACUAAGACUCGAAAGCGUGGGGAGCAAACAGG
Molecule: ribosomal RNA, 253 nt
Filed under: uncultured bacterium
Lineage: Bacteria
Description: partial 16S ribosomal RNA
Rfam family: Bacterial small subunit ribosomal RNA
Source: RNAcentral